UACGUAGGUGGCAAGCGUUGUCCGGAAUUAUUGGGCGUAAAGCGCGCGCAGGCGGUUCUUUAAGUCUGAUGUGAAAGCCCACGGCUCAACCGUGGAGGGUCAUUGGAAACUGGGGGGACUUGAGUGCAGGAGAGAAGAGUGGAAUUCCACGUGUAGCGGUGAAAUGCGUAGAGAUGUGGAGGAACACCAGUGGCGAAGGCGACUCUUUGGCCUGUAACUGACGCUGAGGCGCGAAAGCGUGGGGAGCAAACAGG
RNAcentral lists this ribosomal RNA (254 nucleotides) under uncultured bacterium. RNAcentral describes it as "partial 16S ribosomal RNA". It matches the Rfam family "Bacterial small subunit ribosomal RNA", at positions 524 to 776 of the family's 1533-position model. The record is from RNAcentral.